AAGAGACGUUGCCCUUCGGGGUAUACCUCCCACCCAUUGUUUAUUAUACCUUUGUUGCUUUGGCAGACCCGGCUUCGGCCCACCGGCUCCGGCUGGUCAGUGUCUGCCAGAGGACCUAAAACUCUGUUUGUUAAUAUUGUCUGAGUACUAUAUAAUAGUUA
RNAcentral lists this unclassified non-coding RNA (161 nucleotides) under uncultured Thelebolus. RNAcentral's name for it is "sequence contains ITS1". Lineage: Eukaryota; Fungi; Ascomycota; Leotiomycetes; Thelebolales; Thelebolaceae. The record is from RNAcentral.